UACGGAGGAUGCGAGCGUUAUCCGGAUUUAUUGGGUUUAAAGGGUGCGUAGGCUGUUCGGAAAGUCAGGGGUGAAAGCCCGGCGCCUAACGCCGGAACUGCCUUUGAUACUUCCGAGCUGGAAUACGGAUGCCGUGGGAGGAAUGAGUAGUGUAGCGGUGGAAUGCAUAGAUGUUACUCAGAACACCGAUUGCGAAGGCAUCUCACGAAUCCGUCAUUGACGCUGAGGCACGAAAGCGUAGGGACCAAAC
RNAcentral lists this ribosomal RNA (250 nucleotides) under uncultured prokaryote. RNAcentral's name for it is "partial 16S ribosomal RNA". It matches the Rfam family "Bacterial small subunit ribosomal RNA", at positions 524 to 773 of the family's 1533-position model. The record is from RNAcentral.